UCGGCGCCGACCCAUGGGUCCACACUACCUCACCUUCCGCGUAGCUCGCACGUUCGGGAGAAAAAUCUGCGAUGGCCGUUUGCUCUGGAUUUCUGCGUCAACGAUGAUAUACUAGGCAUGUCAAUUGCACCUGAUUUUCUUGCCACACGAACCCUACCCGCUUCCCUCUCCUUUUCUUUCUGUCUUUGAUCGUGGCAGUGGAGGGGUUCACUGGUGGCUGAACCUAGCACGAGUAGACGAUCGGCGCCCGAUCUUGCUCCUCGAUCCCUUCCUCGUGUGAGUGCCUCUGCCCCCGCUGGCCUCCACCGCACGGGGAUCGCCCCCUUGUCCAAGGACUCAAAAUCAGAUCUGGGAGCAGCCGCCGGGGACACGCUUCAUAUUUUUGCUACCGGGGGUGAGAUCGAAAUUGUAUGAGAGAGGCGUGAUGGAGAGGAGAAGAGGAACAGAGCACCCACGGGCCAGCUAAAAGGCGCGGGUGGCACCGGCAACACUUAUUUCGUCUUUCUUGCUGAAUUUUUUUAUUGGUCCCGAUCCUCACGGAUGCAUGCGUAUUUGAACUGGAUUGGAUCGGUUCAUGGUUGUACGUAUGUCUCCCCAUUCAAUUGGAUACACGUCUAUUAGAUCUACUAUAUAUUGUUCAUUCCUCUCUUUUUUUGAUUUGGAAGGUUAUAGCAGUUGUAGCAAUCAUCUCAAAACAUCAGCAUCUUUGACGCGUAUAUACAUAUCUUGGCUAAUUGAUGUUUUGUCAUAUCCAUCUUAUGCUUGAAGAUACAUGCAUUGUUGAUAAUUAAGUUGAUAUAUAUAUGAUUAUUAUUUUUCUUGCUGAACUUUUUCAAUAGACUCAUGGAUGAUACAAAACUUUAUGGUGCUGACUAGGAGAAUACUUGAAUGGGCCAUGACCGGGAGGGAGUUGCUCACCUAAGUGAUCACCAAUGUUGCUGCUAUCGACAACCGCGUUGGCAUGCUCCACCUCACCACCGUCGACGGGUUAUGGACAAGUGAGCGGAGUAGAGCUGCCACCCUCUUCGCCACCCAUUCUAGCACACCCGUGAUCACAGGAGGACCCAACCGUUCCUAAGCCCGGGCACGCGCUUAGGCUUCCAGCCGGCGGCGCAGCCUAUUUUGAUGAAAAUUUGGCCGGCUUACAGUGCGUCCAUGCUUGAUGAAAUCUUGUGUCCGCCACCGCCCGUGAUCAACAACAGGGAAGGUGCAUCUAACGGGGUGAGUGCUCCUCUUCCUCAUGAACCCUACUUUUAGUUGCUAUUCGGACUUGCAUGUCUGCCAUUAUUUGAGAAAUAGAUUUGUAAUGGUACAAGUAAACCUGGGAAUUGUGCUGUACUCCACAAUAAAUUGAAUAUGAUAAUGAUGGAUCUUCUCAAAUUCAUGUACAUUUUUGUGGAAAGAAAAUUUAUAUUCUGAAGGAAUCCUUUGGUAUGUAGUAAUCAGGAUUUCAGUUGUUGGAAAAUUUCGAAUCCAUUCUAAAAGACAUGGAUGGAGAAUUUGCCCGAGGUAGUGCUUCAUUGAUCUGUUAAACUUUGAUGUAAACCAAAUUCAGUUCGGUGCUCUAUUCAUUGUCCAAUAGACAUAGAUGGAGAAUUUGUCCGAGUUAGCGUUUUUGUGUGUAGGAUGCUGAAGGACAAAGUAUAUGUCCAUUCCGGUAACCAAGGUAACGACUCAUAAAAUUUCAGAGGAGUUGGUCUUAAUAAUAGAUAAGCACUCGUCAAUGAAUGCCUUGUUCAGUUACAUUAAUAUUGCGAGAGGAUCACCGCGGACUUCUCAAAGGUACACAUACAGUUCAGUUCACUGUCCGUUCUCAAUAUUACUCGCAACCGAUUUUCUUCCGGAUGUAAUGUGAUGAUGUUGUUGCUACUGAUCCAUUGGGCCGACUAUAUGUUGAGCAGAGUGUGUAUUAAGGAAGGUGGUAAGAGCUGAGUUUGUAGCAGCUGAUCAUUGAUGUAAGGAGCUGGCAGUGAAGGUGAAAUAUUUGGAGGAGCAGGUGAAAGAGUUUGUCAUGGAGAUCAACACCAUUAUCUUGGUCAACCAUUAGAACAACAUGGUCAUUAUAUUUAAUUAUUUCGAGGUUGUUACUUCAAUAGAAGGGUUAGAAGUAUAUAAAGCUAUAGUCAAGAGAUUAGUGAUUACUCUCUAGAUGGAAAAGAAAUUAGUUCCCACAUAUAAGCAUAUGCAUCAUAUCUUGAGCUGAUUUUUUUCGCAGUGAUAAUGCCAACAAAGUAAAUAAAUAUCAUUGUAUAUGUACCUUAUGUCAGGUUUAAUGGUAUAGCUCAGUUGGAUUCAAUUCUUAUGCCAGAGAUUUGAAAUAUAGAUAUAAUGAAAAAAUGGGCACCUGUCUUAAAGUAUAGAAGAAACAUUACCAAAGCUUGUGGGGAAUUCUUCUAAGAUUUACCGAUUGAAACUUGGAGAGUUGGAUAUUAAUUUUUAUUAUCAACAAAGAUAACUAUGUUACUAUCUUUUAAAGUUAAAAACUGUUCUUUUGCACUAAAGCUGGCUUUAAAAAAGGUAAAUUUAGAUCACAAUUAUCGUGGUGAAUGUUAGCUCUUCUGUUUAUACAAGUAAAAAACUUCAAAUUCUUCAUGUUUGAUACUUGUGUUGGUAAUUUUAGGAACUUUCGGCAGAAGGGAGACUCUACCUAAUUUGGAGUUGACUCACAAGGAAAAAAGAGCAGAUGGUGAUGGAAGCCUCUCUGAAAGAGUAUAUUAACCAAUAGUACCAUUUUAUCUUCUUCAUCCAUAGCCUACAACAUAUCCGGUGAGGACAUGGAAUCGAAGAUCUGCUACAUGGUGGAAAUGGGAGGCGCUGCAGCCUACGAAGGUCGCAACAAUCGCAUGAAAGGAAAUGUUGUUGAGUUAUAUUUGCACCUUUCUAUAAGGGGUUAUGGAGGCCUCCCGGGAAGAGUAUCUUGACCAAAAACAUGUCAACUUCUUCUGUCACGAGUAAGCACACUUUUCCUACAGUCUAAGGAAACUUCUACCGUCCCCUUGAGCUAUUUGACCGGCAUGCAGUUGCUCCUACCAAUGAGCUUUAAUUGCAUCCAAGUAAUGACAUCCUACAACAUAUCUGGUGAGGACAUGGAAUCGAUGAUCUGCUACAUUGUGAAGAUGGGAGACGUCGGACCCUAUGAAGGUUGCAGCAAUCGAAGGAUAGAAAAGGUUGCUGAGUGAUGUGUGCACCUUUCUAGAAUACAUUUUUCUUAUAGUUACGUAUCCCACCAAACGAAUGGACCCAUCGAAGUGAUAAAGCAGAUCGAGAUUGUGAAGUGAUAAAGAAGAUCAAGAUCAUGACAUGCAGAAAAUACAUGCUCACCCCCUCCGAUGGAUUGUGUUGCUGCUAAAUUGUUGAAUAAAGAAGUGUUAGUGAGAACGGA
Lolium perenne is the source of this 3382-nucleotide long non-coding RNA. RefSeq lists it as uncharacterized. NCBI's taxonomy places the organism in Eukaryota, Viridiplantae, Streptophyta, Magnoliopsida, Poales, Poaceae. The record is from RefSeq and is a predicted model, not a curated record.